AGAGUUUGAUCAUGGCUCAGAACGAACGCUGGCGGCAUGCUUAACACAUGCAAGUCGAACGCUCCGCAAGGGGAGUGGCGCACGGGUGAGUAACGCGUGGGAACCUGCCUUUUGGUUCGGAAUAACUGCGGGAAACUGCAGCUAAUACCGGAUAAGUCGGUGCUCUGUGGUGGGGUGCUGGGAAAGAUUUAUCGCCAGAA
RNAcentral lists this ribosomal RNA (200 nucleotides) under uncultured bacterium. RNAcentral describes it as "partial 16S ribosomal RNA". It matches the Rfam family "Bacterial small subunit ribosomal RNA", at positions 8 to 223 of the family's 1533-position model. The record is from RNAcentral.